Molecule: long non-coding RNA, 1406 nt
Organism: Hipposideros armiger (great roundleaf bat)
Lineage: Eukaryota; Metazoa; Chordata; Mammalia; Chiroptera; Hipposideridae
Exons: 3
Source: RefSeq, a predicted model, not a curated record
GGGACUGCGGGAGAGCGCCCCGGCCCCGGCCCGCCCGCAUAGGUGCCCUGGCAGCUCAGAUUCCGGACCACCUGCAGUCCCAAGCACGUAACCUGGUAGGCCCCAGCAUGACCCAAGGUUUCCCUAACCCCACGGCGCCGUUAGCCUAAGGAAAACAACCCCAGGGCGCAGCGUAUCCGACUGGGCGCGCAGUGUUUGCGUCCGGAGCGCGCACAGCGCGGGAGACGUGGGCGUGAAGGAGCUAGCUGGACUGUAGGAGCUGGAGAGACCUGGGAUAGGGACUAGGCGCCUCCGCCUUCAAGCUCUGUGACCUUGGGCAAGUCACGUCGUCUCCCGGAGCCUCCAGCAAGGACUGCUGCUGGAGUCUCCUGUUCCCCACCCCCAUUCCCUAAUCGGGUUAAAAUAAACAGAGGGUUACCUAGAAUGAGAAAGGAAAUGAUAAGCGCGUAUCAAAUGCACUGGGCGAGUAGUCAGAAAAGGAGAGGGCUCUACGGUGGGUGGGGAGGGGGAUGAGAAGCGUGAGGGCAGGAUCUCAAACUAAAACGUCUACAGUGGCCCGACGAUAAUACAAAUGGAUGUUGCACGCUGGGCAAUAUGAGUGGUCUUCGCUCCACAAAGAGAUAUGAGCUCGCCUAUAUUUCUUGAAACAUGAGGCCCUCUCUUGAUGCUAAAAGUGAGGGCCAGAGAGAUCAAAUUGCCUGGCCAAGGUCACCCAGCCAGGGAGCCACAGAGCAGGCUUCAAGCCCCAGGAGGCUGCUCCAGAGCCCAACGCCUGACAUCUGCACGACCCAUCCUCCCUGGGUCCAAGGACUGCUGGGUGUGACGACUUACAGAGAACUUUUUAUUUUGGAAUUAUUAUAGAUUCACAGGAAGUUGCAAAGACAGCACAGAGAGGUCCCAUGCACCUUCAUUCAGUUCCCCCCAUGCAGUGGUUACAUCCUACAUAACUCUAGAAUAAUGCAAGACCAGGAAACUGGCAUUGGUACAACAUGUGCAUAUUGUUCUGUCAUUUUAUCACCUGUGGAGAUUCCCGAAGUCACCACAGCAAUCAAGAUACAGAACUGUCCCAUCACCACAAAGAUGUUCCUUGUGCUGUUCCUUUAUUGUCACCUCCAUCCCCUUCACCCUCCCCAACCCCUGGCAACCACUAAUCUGUUUGCCAUCUCUGUAACUGCCGUGGAAGUAUAUGAUAUGUUAGCUCUUGAGAAUGGCUUUUCCACUCGCAAAGUAUUUAUUUUAAAAUAAAUAGUUAUUGAGUGUCUACUACAUAUCAGGCUGGUGUUAAUCCCUUUCAGAAAUAUAUUACAUAAGAUUCGGUUGGUUGCAAGUGAUAGAAUCCACCUCAUACUCUAUUGUAAAAGGGACUGUGUGGUCCGGCCGAGUGGCACGUUGGUUAAGAGCUGGCU